Molecule: ribosomal RNA, 465 nt
Filed under: uncultured bacterium
Lineage: Bacteria
Description: bacterial SSU rRNA
Rfam family: Bacterial small subunit ribosomal RNA
Source: RNAcentral
UCCAGACUCCUACGGGAGGCAGCAGUGAGGAAUAUUGGUCAAUGGCCGGGAGGCUGAACCAGCCAAGUCGCGUGAGGGAAGACGGCCCUAUGGGUUGUAAACCUCUUUUGUCGGAGAACAAAACCCGGGACGUGUCCCGGACUGCGUGUAUCCGAAGAAAAAGCAUCGGCUAACUCCGUGCCAGCAGCCGCGGUAAUACGGAGGAUGCGAGCGUUAUCCGGAUUUAUUGGGUUUAAAGGUGGCGUAGGCGGCCCGUUAAGUCAGCGGUAAAAUUGCGGGGCUAAACCCCGUCGAGCCGUUGAAACUGGCAGACUUGAGUUGGCGAGAAGUACGCGGAAUGCGCGGUGUAGCGGUGAAAUGCAUAGAUAUCACGCAGAACUCCGAUUGCGAAGGCAGCAUACCGGCGCCCAACUGACGCUGAAGCACGAAAGCGUGGGUAUCGAACAGGAUUAGAUACCCGAGUAA